Molecule: transfer RNA, 72 nt
Filed under: Camelus bactrianus (Bactrian camel)
Lineage: Eukaryota; Metazoa; Chordata; Mammalia; Artiodactyla; Camelidae
Also listed under: 3 other names
Rfam family: tRNA
About the family: Transfer RNA (tRNA) molecules are approximately 80 nucleotides in length. Their secondary structure includes four short double-helical elements and three loops (D, anti-codon, and T loops).
Source: Rfam by way of RNAcentral
GAGGGUAUAGCUCAGUGGUAAAGUGCGUGAUCAGCAUGCACAAGGUCCUGGGUUCAACCCCCAGUACCUCCA